This 73-nucleotide transfer RNA is filed under the name Chlorobiota bacterium. RNAcentral describes it as "tRNA-Arg". It matches the Rfam family "tRNA". Rfam says of the family: Transfer RNA (tRNA) molecules are approximately 80 nucleotides in length. Their secondary structure includes four short double-helical elements and three loops (D, anti-codon, and T loops). Further hydrogen bonds mediate the characteristic L-shaped molecular structure. tRNAs have two regions of fundamental functional importance: the anti-codon, which is responsible for specific mRNA codon recognition, and the 3' end, to which the tRNAs corresponding amino acid is attached (by aminoacyl-tRNA synthetases). tRNAs cope with the degeneracy of the genetic code in two manners: having more than one tRNA (with a specific anti-codon) for a particular amino acid; and 'wobble' base-pairing, i.e. permitting non-standard base-pairing at the 3rd anti-codon position. The record is from RNAcentral. Lineage: Bacteria; Pseudomonadati; Chlorobiota.
GGUCCCGUAGUUCAACUGGAUAGAAUACAAGAUUCCGGUUCUUGAGAUAGGGGUUCAAGUCCUCUCGGGAUCA